UCCGAAAACAGCAUUGAAAAAUGGAUGAUUACCCUUGAGGGUCGUGUCGUUUGUGAAAGUGUACAUCCAAGAUUUGUGACGGCAAUAGCAACAAUGUUCGCAAUGUACUACGUUUUUAACCUUGAAUAUCCGGAGGAGGCAAGUGGCACAUUGGAAUUCAUUCAGAGACGAUUUGUCAGGAUAAACCCUGAAAAAGGCUCGAAGACCAGCAAAGGCAAGGUUGUUUCGAAGAAGAGUGGAAGUAGUCAGCGACUGUCAAUGCAAAAGUUGCUUCCCUCCUAAAAAAUCUCAUUGAUUUUGAAUGGGAUUUUGUCUACACCUGGAUGUCCUCUCAGGCCAGAGAAAUCAGAAGCUGUAGUAACACACAGCUUUUUUUUUUUUUACCUAUUAAUAGUUUUUUUCACCUAUUAAUAGU
Long non-coding RNA from Tachysurus vachellii, 415 nucleotides. RefSeq lists it as uncharacterized. The transcript has 3 exons. The record is from RefSeq and is a predicted model, not a curated record. NCBI's taxonomy places the organism in Eukaryota, Metazoa, Chordata, Actinopteri, Siluriformes, Bagridae.